RNAcentral lists this long non-coding RNA (273 nucleotides) under Amborella trichopoda. RNAcentral describes it as "long non-coding RNA (ATRI_LNC003550)". Lineage: Eukaryota; Viridiplantae; Streptophyta; Magnoliopsida; Amborellales; Amborellaceae. The record is from RNAcentral.
GGUACCAAUGACUUUGUUGUUGACUCACUCUUAGCCAUCCGAUCAUGACAAUGAUUCUCUAAGUACAUAAAAAAUAUAUAUAUACAUGGAGUGCAAAGAGGUUUCCCUUAUCAAAGAGGGCUGGAUCUUUUGGAACAAUUCAAAUUGCUUCACUAAUAGGUUGAUUACCUAAGGGAGAGAUUGGGAGGAACAACUUUUUUUUUUCUUUUUUUUUUAUUACGUUAAAUUAAGUUGAUUAGUCUAAAUUAAGAUUCGAAGAAAACUAGUUUUUUC